This 257-nucleotide long non-coding RNA is filed under the name Lathyrus oleraceus (garden pea). RNAcentral describes it as "Pisum sativum (pea) long non-coding RNA (PSAT_LNC019752)". Lineage: Eukaryota; Viridiplantae; Streptophyta; Magnoliopsida; Fabales; Fabaceae. The record is from RNAcentral.
UUCGGCCAGCAAUGCUAUCGUGUCAGGAUGAUCUGGGAAUUCUAUCAAACGCUGGAUAAGCAGAUUUCUUUGGUGAAUAACCCCAUCCAACUCGUUGAUGUGUUCUCUGUAGUAAUUCCCAUCAUCUUCUCCGAAUACCUCUUCAAGUCUGGACUUCUUCAAACCUGCCAACACCUUAAGUUCUUCAAUCUGUCCUCGAGCCUCAUUGAGUUGAUCGGUGAUGUAACCAUUGGUAGAACGGGCACACAGAAGCUCAU